Molecule: ribosomal RNA, 370 nt
Filed under: Enterococcus faecalis
Lineage: Bacteria; Bacillati; Bacillota; Bacilli; Lactobacillales; Enterococcaceae
Description: bacterial SSU rRNA
Rfam family: Bacterial small subunit ribosomal RNA
Source: RNAcentral
UCCUACGGGAGGCAGCAGUAGGGAAUCUUCGGCAAUGGACGAAAGUCUGACCGAGCAACGCCGCGUGAGUGAAGAAGGUUUUCGGAUCGUAAAACUCUGUUGUUAGAGAAGAACAAGGACGUUAGUAACUGAACGUCCCCUGACGGUAUYUAACCAGAAAGCCACGGCUAACUACGUGCCAGCAGCCGCGGUAAUACGUAGGUGGCAAGCGUUGUCCGGAUUUAUUGGGCGUAAAGCGAGCGCAGGCGGUUUCUUAAGUCUGAUGUGAAAGCCCCCGGCUCAACCGGGGAGGGUCAUUGGAAACUGGGAGACUUGAGUGCAGAAGAGGAGAGUGGAAUUCCAUGUGUAGCGGUGAAAUGCGUAGAKAUAU